Molecule: ribosomal RNA, 250 nt
Filed under: uncultured bacterium
Lineage: Bacteria
Description: partial 16S ribosomal RNA
Rfam family: Bacterial small subunit ribosomal RNA
Source: RNAcentral
UGGGGAAUAUUGCACAAUGGGGGAAACCCUGAUGCAGCGACGCCGCGUGGAGGAAGAAGGUCUUCGGAUUGUAAACUCCUGUUGUUGAGGAAGAUAAUGACGGUACUCAACAAGGAAGUGACGGCUAACUACGUGCCAGCAGCCGCGGUAAAACGUAGGUCACAAGCGUUGUCCGGAAUUACUGGGUGUAAAGGGAGCGCAGGCGGGAAGACAAGUUGGAAGUGAAAUCCAUGGGCUCAACCCAUGAACU